RNAcentral lists this unclassified non-coding RNA (838 nucleotides) under Hevea brasiliensis (rubber tree). The record is from RNAcentral. Lineage: Eukaryota; Viridiplantae; Streptophyta; Magnoliopsida; Malpighiales; Euphorbiaceae.
AGUUUCUCACUUAGAAUCAAAACCUGCAGUUACAAAGUAGCAUAACAGUAAAUUAAAUCAGCAAAAAAGGCCUUUCUGUAAUAAAACUUAGCUCAAGAAAGACUUUAAUAAAGACAAGUAACUAUGAUGAAAAAGAAGAGGGUUUGCGUCAGACAACACAUAGAAGUACAAGCUAUUCCCUUCAAUUAAUAAUGAGUACACAAGCAAUCAUACAGUGAUCAAGGUAACAACCAUAAUUGAACCUGGGAUUAUUGGACAUUUGCAUAUGCCAGUUACAUUUAAGGCAAGCCAAGUCCUGAUUUUCAGGAGUAAAAUAUCCAGUUAAGACAAAUACUUGCCAGGCUAGUCCAUGUGUGAAUGCCCUUCAGGCAGUAUCAAAAUAGCAAGCCACAGAUUUCCAAUAUGCAGCCUCACCCUCCUCUAUGCAUGUGUACAUCAGUAAUUCAGUAGGCAUAUGAUGGCCUAAAUGAUUCUCAAUAAGGAAGAAGCCCAAAUCUUAAUCUAAAUUUAGUCAAAUGAGUUAUAACUGAACCUCACAAUAACACUUAUUUCAAGCAAUUAUCCAUUUUACUAUAUUUACUUUACAAUUUACUAUCAAAAUUCAGAGUCCAUAAUUGGAUUUUAUUCUUACUACAAGUGACACAUAGAAGAAUCAUAUCUAUACAAAAUAACAAUCUUCAUUCAUACUCAGUUAUCAUAGGAAAAGGGAGGAAAAAAGGGAUGAUUUGCCAAGGCACGCAAACACUCCAGCCCUUCACCAGUAUAUUUUAUAUAUAAUCAAUAAGCAUAAUAAAAAAUUAAGAAAAGCAGUCUCACCACCCCAUGUUUGUGUGCUACA